This 216-nucleotide ribosomal RNA is filed under the name Salmonella enterica. RNAcentral describes it as "partial 23S ribosomal RNA". It matches the Rfam family "Bacterial large subunit ribosomal RNA", at positions 1 to 217 of the family's 2925-position model. RNAcentral also lists the same sequence under 1 other name. The record is from RNAcentral. Lineage: Bacteria; Pseudomonadati; Pseudomonadota; Gammaproteobacteria; Enterobacterales; Enterobacteriaceae.
GGUUAAGCGACUAAGCGUACACGGUGGAUGCCCUGGCAGUCAGAGGCGAUGAAGGACGUGCUAAUCUGCGAUAAGCGUCGGUAAGGUGAUAUGAACCGUUAUAACCGGCGAUUUCCGAAUGGGGAAACCCAGUGUGAUUCGUCACACUAUCGUUAACUGAAUACAUAGGUUAACGAAGCGAACCGGGGGAACUGAAACAUCUAAGUACCCCGAGGA